AUUGAACGCUGGCGGCAUGCUUUACACAUGCAAGUCGAACGGUAACAGGGACUUCGGUCUGCUGACGAGUGGCGAACGGGUGAGUAACAUAUCGGAACGUGCCCAGUAAUGGGGGAUAGCUCGGCGAAAGCCGGAUUAAUACCGCAUACGCCCUGAGGGGGAAAGUGGGGGAUCUUCGGACCUCACGUUAUUGGAGCGGCCGAUAUCAGAUUAGCUAGUUGGUGGGGUAAAGGCCUACCAAGGCGACGAUCUGUAGCUGGUCUGAGAGGAUGAUCAGCCACACUGGGACUGAGACACGGCCCAGACUCCUACGGGAGGCAGCAGUGGGGAAUUUUGGACAAUGGGCGAAAGCCUGAUCCAGCCAUGCCGCGUGAGUGAAGAAGGCCUCGGGUUGGUAAGUACGUACUUUCUAGGUGGUAAAGGAAA
Molecule: ribosomal RNA, 426 nt
Filed under: uncultured bacterium
Lineage: Bacteria
Description: bacterial SSU rRNA
Rfam family: Bacterial small subunit ribosomal RNA
Source: RNAcentral